AUAAAAAAAAUAAAAAUUUACAAGAUUUGCUUAAACCUUCUUUAUAUAAAAUAUUAAGAGUUAAAAAAAUAAUUAUUAUGAAUAAAAAAAACAAUAUUAAAUUGUUUUGAAUGUAAGAUUUAUCCCGUUAACUUGACUAUAUCCAUUUUAAAUGAUCAAUGUAAUAAAUCAUAAAUGAGCUCUUUUAUAAUUUAUUACCCUUUCUUUUCUAUUGGGGCUUAUUUUAUUGUAAAGUAAACACAAUUUUCUAUUCUACCCAAGGAAAAUAAAUUUGGGGGUGAAAUGUCAAGAUAGGAUCUCUCCAAAAAGGUUUGGAGAUUCUCGAAAGCUUGAAUUAGUAAUGUCUAAUACAAUCACAAAUGGAAUUCCAGACAUCCACCAUAAACGCAAAAAGGUGCUCUCGUUUUGUGACAUUCUAUUCACCGUGAUUUCUUUAUCGACUUAUUUGUGCAUAAUAGUUUUCGAUUUGGUUAUUUUACAAACUCUAUUUGCUCUUAAAAGUGACCAGAGGAAGGAACCCGAUCAAGCGAAACGAAGAGGGUCCCAUAUAGAACCUUGGUUUUGGUUGACUUCUUUUUUUAUGUUCGUUUAUUUCCUAUCAUCUCAAAUAGUAUCUCUAAGUUGGUAUAAUGAGGAAUUUAGGAGGGGCUUCUUGACUCGGGCUAAAAGAACCCAUAUUUUGGGCCGAUUAAACCAUGUAAAAUCCUUAACUCCUCACACAGAACAAAUAAUGCCCGUAGACGACCAGAGUUUAGUUAAAAAUUAUUUAUCCUCCCGGUUUUACGUGUUUGAUUUGCUCAAGGAAUUCGCUCCUUUACUCGUUGUUCAUCUUCUGCAACUCCACGUAGUGUGGAGGCAUUGCAAAAUAUUUUUGCCCGGUGACCCCAAAAAGCAAGAGACCGAAUUUUGUAGGCUCUCCGUGCUAAGACUUUACCAAGGCAUGAUACAGGGUAUUCCCUUGUUUUUAAUCAAAUGUUACCUACUAGUAAACCAUUUUAGUAAUAUCAACUUAGAACACGGAAAUAAUUUAUAUGACUAUGGGAAACCCGGGUUUUGGACCGAAAAUUUUUUUCAGGAUGCCUCACAUAUUAACGUUGGUUUAAAUGUAAAUCCUAAAUUGUUACAACCUGAACGUAUUAAAAUCGAGCUCGAAGAACCGUUCCUUUUUGUUAUCUCGGCUCUUAUAUCCCUCUUUUGCGUAACUUGGUCCUUGGCCUCAUUCGAUAAGAAAGUUCUCCUGUCAUUUUCCUAUCCUUCCAUGUCCUAUAAUCGUUCUUCUACCGUUAUAAGUUUUACUUGGACCGGCAUCAUCUUCAAGCUAUUGGCCAACGCUUCUUUAUUCGCGUCGCGCUGUUUAGUCUUGCUGCUUUUCGCCCUUUCUUGCGUUCGCUGGACGAUACUGUUGGUAGGUUUUCAUUGGGCCUUCACCGCGGUUUGGUUGCAACGGGAAAGACUUAUUUUUGAUAAGAGCGCAGUAAUACCACCCCCACACUCUAUUAUAAAUGUCGCGGUUAGUAGAGAAGAAAAAGGCAAAUUAGCCUAUAUCGACGAAUGUUGCACACAUUCUUUGCUCGCUCCUCAUACGGGACCAAAUGUUUUAGAUAAAGAAAUUUCCAUUUCAAAUAAAAUAAACACAGUUAGAACUGGAGGUAUUUCCACGCCAGGGAGUAAAACUCGCAUGGCCUGUUUUUUUAAAAAAUUAGGGUGGUCGGUGGCCAUUGCCGCGGUAUACGUGUUUUGUUUCAUCGACCUACAAACUGGCAAUAGCAAAUUCCGAUUGACAACUUAUUACGUAGUAAUUUUCGUAGAAAAUACUUUAAUGGUGACGGUUUGGCUGCACCGAGCGCAGAUGGGCUCCAUAAAACUCAGACUUUUAGCCUUAUUGACCUCUUAUUCCGCCUUUUUUGUGGGAAUACUAUUUUUGCUAGCUUAUUACAAAUGGUUUCAUGUGGGAAACGACGAUUUACUCAACAUCAAUUAUAUGGAGGGGUAUAAUACUCACAAAACGCAUUCAAAUAGUUCAAACAAUAGCUCGAGCAAUCAUACCAAAAUAGAUCGUAAGCUCGCUUCUCGCUAUUCUUCCCCUACUAAUAAAAAGCUCAUUUAUACUAACCAAUCAUCUCCUAUUAACAAUAACAGGGUACAUAAAAAUUGCGCGUAUAAUAAAUUCCACGCUCCAAAAUUGAAUGUUUCUAGUCCAAGGCACGACCAUAAAUGUCACAAUAUUAAAAUAGGCCUGCCCCCGUCAAGAUCUAAGGACCCAUACAAUCAGGCACCUUCAGAAGAUCGAUCGUCAUUCCGUAAUCAUUUCUCGGAUCGUUCGCGCAGAAUUACUCAAAUUUCUCCACCGAACGAUCAAAAACCUAAUUUUAAGAAACGCGUUCGCGUGGAUAAUCAAAAUUACCAGCAUUGCGCAUGUUAUAAAAAAGGAAAAAUAAAUUCAAGUACCACAUAUUUUCGUAACGCCGAUUCCCCCAACUGCACGAAUAAUCAUUCAACAUCGGCGACCUCCAACAGAGACAACGGAUGCGCUAACGGAUUUAUAUCGUGUUAUCAAAGUCAAAAUCACGAUUGGUGUCAUAAUAAAAAUUCGCAAAAUAUACAGGGUACUAACGAAUGUAUUAUUAAUAAUGCGCGAAAUCAUACCAACGGAUUAGCGCGAAUUCAUAGACAGGGAGAGGGUAUUCCUAAAUGCAAAACGUAAAUUAAUAAAUUGAACUAGGAUAUAAAAUUUUAAUUCUCAAAGUUUAAAUAAAUAUACUGUAUCGGUUAAAAUUCUGAGCAAUAAUAAAGCGUACCAAAAAGGAUAAAACAAGAUAUGGAUACUUUUUACCCUUCCGUUGAAAAAAUAAAAAACUGUAUUAUUAUAAAAUGAAAUUUGCUUCGAUUCACAUUUAAAAUAUAGUUUCUUAUUAUAAAAUCAAGAGUAAUUAUAUAAAAUCAGAUUAUAAAUAUUUAUAAUGCAAUAAUAUCUAUUUGUACAGAAAAUUUUACAGUAAUUUACAUAUAAAUUAUGAUUAUUAUACAUUUAAUUUAUUUCAAGAAAAACAUAAA
Molecule: RNA transcript, 3054 nt
Organism: Gordionus sp. m RMFG-2023
Lineage: Eukaryota; Metazoa; Nematomorpha; Gordioida; Chordodea; Parachordodidae
Exons: 3
Source: RefSeq, a predicted model, not a curated record